AGAGUUUGAUCCUGGCUCAGAACAAACGCUGGCGGCGUGUCUUAAGCAUGCAAGUUGAGCGGCAAGGAGGAGAGAUCCUCCCUAGAGCAGCGGACUGGUGAGUAACGCGUGGGUAAUCUAUCUUAGGCAUGGGGAUAGUCACUAGAAAUAGUGGGUAAUACCGAAUAAGUUCCAUAAGGGGAGGACUUAUGGAAGAAAGGUGCUACGGCACUGGCCUUAGGUGAGCUCGCGUCCCAUUAGCUAGUUGGUGAGGUAAAGGCCCACCAAGGCGAUGAUGGGUAGCCGGCCUGAGAGGGUGUACGGCCACACUGGGACUGAGAUACGGCCCAGACUCCUACGGGAGGCAGCAGCUAAGAAUAUUCCGCAAUGGACGGAAGUCUGACGGAGCGACGCCGCGUGGAUGAAGAAGGCCGAAAGGUUGUAAAGUUCUUUUGCUAGGGGAGAAUAAGUGUGGGAGGGAAUGCCUGCACGAUGACAAGGACUAGCGAAUAAGUCCCGGCCAACUACGUGCCAGCAGCCGCGGUAACACGUAGGGGGCGAGCGUUGUUCGGAAUUACUGGGCGUAAAGGGCAUGUAGGCGGCUUGGUAAGCCUGGCGUGAAAGUCUGCAGCUUAACUGUAGGGAUGCGUUGGGAACUGCUUAGCUUGAGUUACGGAGAGGGAGCUGGAAUUCCUGGUGUAGGGGUGGAAUCUGUAGAUAUCAGGAAGAACACCGAUGGCGAAGGCAAGCUUCUGGCCGACAACUGACGCUGAGGUGCGAAAGUGUGGGGAUCAAGCAGGAUUAGAUACCCUGGUAGUCCACACAGUAAACGAUGUGCACGAGGUGCUGGGGCGGUAGUUUCAGUGCCGGAGCGAACGCGGUAAGUGCACCGCCUGGGGAGUAUGCUCGCAAGGGUGAAACUCAAAGGAAUUGACGGGGGCCCGCACAAGCGGUGGAGCAUGUGGUUUAAUUCGAUGUACACGAGGAACCUUACCUGGGUUUGACAUACGGAGGGAAGUGGCAGAGAUGUCACUGCGUAGAGAUACGGCUCCGUACAGGUGCUGCAUGGCUGUCGUCAGCUCGUGCCGUGAGGUGUUGGGUUAAGUCCCGCAACGAGCGCAACCCCUACUGUCAGUUACUAACAGGUUAAGCUGAGGACUCUGGCGGAACUGCCGGUGACAAACCGGAGGAAGGUGGGGAUGACGUCAAGUCG
RNAcentral lists this ribosomal RNA (1192 nucleotides) under metagenome. RNAcentral describes it as "bacterial SSU rRNA". It matches the Rfam family "Bacterial small subunit ribosomal RNA", at positions 8 to 1192 of the family's 1533-position model. The record is from RNAcentral.